RNAcentral lists this ribosomal RNA (492 nucleotides) under uncultured bacterium. Its description in RNAcentral is "partial 16S ribosomal RNA". It matches the Rfam family "Bacterial small subunit ribosomal RNA", at positions 29 to 507 of the family's 1533-position model. The record is from RNAcentral.
AGCGAGCGAGGGAGGGAGGAGGAACAAAGGCAAGUCGAACGGCAGCACAGUAAGUGCUUGCUCUUACGGGUGGUGAGUGGCGGACGGGUGAGGACUACAUCGGAACCUACUUUUUCGUGGGGGAUAACGUAGGGAAACUCACGCUAAUACCGCAUACGACCUACGGGUGAAAGCAGGGGAUCUUCGGACCUUGCGCGAUUGUAUGAGCCGAUGUCGGAUUAGCUAGUUGGCGGGGUAAAGGCCCACCAAGGCGACGCACAGUAGCUGGUCUGAGAGGAUGGACAGCCACACUGGAACUGAGACACGGUCCAGACUCCUACGGGAGGCAGCAGUGGGGAAUAUUGGGCAAUGGGCGCAAGCCUGAUCCAGCCAUACCGCGUGGGUGAAGAAGGCCUUCGGGUUGUAAAGCCCUGUUGUUGGGAAAGAAAAGCAGCAGGUUAAUACCCCGCUGUUCUGACGGUACCCAAAGAAUAAGCACCGGCUACCUUCGUC